Mesocricetus auratus (golden hamster) is the source of this 1117-nucleotide long non-coding RNA. RefSeq lists it as uncharacterized. The transcript has 4 exons. NCBI's taxonomy places the organism in Eukaryota, Metazoa, Chordata, Mammalia, Rodentia, Cricetidae. The record is from RefSeq and is a predicted model, not a curated record.
CAACAAUAAUAAUAAAAAUAAAAACAGUUCCCAAACUUGUUUGAGUUGCACUGUCCUUAGAGUAAUUGUCCCCCAUGGUGACCUUAGGCCAAUGCCCAUCUAUGAAGUGCCGUGAUCUAAGCAGCCUCUGAGAGCUGUUGACCUGGCAGAUUGGCAGUUGCAUGGAGAUUCCUCACAGAAAAGAAUCCUUGGGACCUGCACAGAUCCUCACACGGCACACUCAGAUCAUAUGCCACCUCAUUUCCCUUCUACACUGGCUUGGGGUGGUAAUUGCUGUCUAUUCCUGGGAAUGAUGUCAGGCGGGAGGAAGCGUGCUCUAUUGCUGAAGCCGAACACACUGAGAUGCCAACGCGUUUCUUCCGAGAUGCUGGGACAUGGUCCUAGGAACCCGCAACCAGGCAAUUCAGAAGAACCUGGGGACCCUGAGCUGAGGCACCUGGUCUUCAAUGGGAAAACAUCGCUGGCAUCAGAGACAAAACUGGAUUGCUUUGGUCUUGCCCACACUUGCCACUGUGAAUGACAUGGUGUUUUGCUGCAGUUUGGAAAGCUGACUGACACACAAGACACAUUUGGUCAAAUGCAUCACCGCUGCAGGUUGCCUCAGCUCAGGCCCUCAAGAGAAAACACAGGGACGGUGCAGCUGGAGACACAGCAGCUGGGUUUCCUUAGCAACUCCCAUCACUCACUGGGGGAAGAAGGCAAGAAGUCCUCAGGUGGCUGCGUGAAUCUCCCGGAUAACUCCAGUUUCCCAUGUGCCACCGUCUCCACAGACAGCGGAAGACACAACGGUUCAGAAAGUCCCAAGUCAUAGAGCUGGAAGCCAGCAAUGCCAGCUGCGUGAUGAGAAACAGUGGCCAGCUAUCUCCCUUGGUCCUCUUCUCCCUUGCUGGGACUCUGACAUCAAUACUCACACUGAAAAUACUUAUUUCCCAGCAACUGUCUUUCUUGACUGGUGAAACCUGAAGGGAAAUCUCACAAGAAGUUUCUAGAAUAGUGUUCAUUGAAAUUGUUUUUGUAAGAGUUAUGUUUUAAGGAUGCCUCUCCCCCAGCCGGGCGUUGGUGGCUCGAGCCUUUAAUCCCAGCACUCGGGAGGCAGAGGCAGGCGGAUCUCUGUGAG